RNAcentral lists this transfer RNA (73 nucleotides) under bacterium A37T11. It matches the Rfam family "tRNA". Rfam says of the family: Transfer RNA (tRNA) molecules are approximately 80 nucleotides in length. Their secondary structure includes four short double-helical elements and three loops (D, anti-codon, and T loops). Further hydrogen bonds mediate the characteristic L-shaped molecular structure. tRNAs have two regions of fundamental functional importance: the anti-codon, which is responsible for specific mRNA codon recognition, and the 3' end, to which the tRNAs corresponding amino acid is attached (by aminoacyl-tRNA synthetases). tRNAs cope with the degeneracy of the genetic code in two manners: having more than one tRNA (with a specific anti-codon) for a particular amino acid; and 'wobble' base-pairing, i.e. permitting non-standard base-pairing at the 3rd anti-codon position. The record is from Rfam by way of RNAcentral.
GCCUCCUUAGCUCAGCUGGUAGAGCGACUGACUUGUAAUCAGUAGGUCGCUGGUUCGAUCCCGGCAGGAGGCU